GACGGAGGAUGCAAGCGUUAUCCGGAAUGAUUGGGCGUAAAGCGUCCGUAGGUGGCUGUUCAAGUCUGCUGUCAAAGACCGGGGCUUAACUUCGGAAAGGCAGUGGAAACUGAACAGCUAGAGUAUGGUAGGGGCAGAGGGAAUUCCUGGUGUAGCGGUGAAAUGCGUAGAGAUCAGGAAGAACAUCGGUGGCGAAGGCGCUCUGCUGGACCAUAACUGACACUCAGGGACGAAAGCUAGGGGAGCGAAUGGG
RNAcentral lists this ribosomal RNA (253 nucleotides) under uncultured bacterium. RNAcentral's name for it is "partial 16S ribosomal RNA". It matches the Rfam family "Bacterial small subunit ribosomal RNA", at positions 524 to 776 of the family's 1533-position model. The record is from RNAcentral.